RNA transcript from Prosopis cineraria, 1805 nucleotides. It is a transcript of the gene named E3 ubiquitin-protein ligase At3g02290-like, with no coding region annotated. Lineage: Eukaryota; Viridiplantae; Streptophyta; Magnoliopsida; Fabales; Fabaceae. The record is from RefSeq and is a predicted model, not a curated record. The transcript has 5 exons.
CUUUCUAAAAACAUGUCUCUCGCCCAAUUUUGAUUUUCUAUUCCGAUAGCGGAUUUGAACACUCCGAUUGUCCUGUGGUUUGAUAAACUCGAGUGGGUGUAUUUUUUUCCGUCAAUUUUCUCGGUCGAUUUUCUUCUUUGGUACUCUUAGAUAAUUUGAAUGCGAUUUCUCCCUUAAUUUGAGGUUUUCUAGUAGUCCUCGGUUAAACUUGAUUGCCUGUCGACAUGUCGUUGGUAAUAGCGAUCAUUCCAUAGGAAAGCAAUGAUUUUCUUGUUAGUUCAUCCAUCGGCGUGUCUCGCCACCGGAGGAAAGGAUCCUUUUUUUCCCGAAUCGGAGGAACAAUGUAAAGGCGAAAUUGUCAGUUUGUGGCAGAGAACUUAACUCUUUUCCUGGAAGCAAUUAAAUUUGUUAUGUUGUCCCCCCCCCCCCCCCCCAAAAAACAACAAAAGAAAAAAAAAAUCAGUUUCUCGGUUGUUUUUCCCCACUUUUAACGUCGUGUUCAUCAUUUGGUGCUUGUAAGUAAAUACUUGUUACUGCUGUAUGAAUCGCCUGAAUGACAGCUCUUACAUAUUUCUCAUCUAUUUUAGAGUCUUUCAUUAGAUUCUGCCUUACUUUUCAUGUCAGAAAGACAAGUGUAAGCUGAUUAUUCUUUUUGCAGGGGCAUCUGAAUCAAAGAGGGAGGGUGCUGGUUUGCGGGGGCAGCGGGACUUCUGCGAGCUUAGAAUCCUCUCUCGUUUAUUGAUCAAAGCACAGCAUAUGCUGUUGGAGGAUCUUUUUCUCAACACUUGAAUGUUGCACUAUCUAUUUUAGCUGAUCAGUUGAAGAGGGAAGUAUUUUAAGCUGAAGGGAGAUAGAAGCUGGCAUAAUGGGUUCUGUUUGUUGUUGCUUGAGAGCUGAUCAAUUUGAAGAUUAUGUAAAUCGAAAUGGUUCUGUAUAUAGGAAUUGUGUGUGUCUCAAUUGCUUCCUACAGAACUUUUUGAAUGCGUAUUCAGCAAUAUUCCGCAGAGGCGAAGUGCAUUCACUACCUUCAUCCAUACAGGGGGCAGCAUCUAUGACUUCUGCAGCAUCACUCGAUAAUUCACUAUCUGACAUGUACCAUUCUCCACCAAGGCCCUUGCCUUAUGAUGUAGACCCCAGGCAUUUCCGCUCACGUCAUUUAUUUGUUUCAAGGCAUGACAAAGGUUCUAGUCAUUUGAAUGAAGAGUCAGAACCUCUAAGAGGUGCUGUGGAUGGGGAUCAAGAAUCCUUAAAUUCUGGAGGCAAAUGGAACGGAUCUACCUGUGAAGAUGCAUCACAGGAAUACAGAUCUAAGUCCUCAGUAAGGUUCUCAUCAGCAAAAUAUGCAACUGGUGCUGGGCUUGUUUAUGCAUCAUUUGAAGAUGAGGAUCUUUGCCCAACUUGUCUUGAAGAAUAUACUGAAGAGAACCCAAGGAUAUUGACAAAGUGCAAUCAUCAUUUUCAUCUUAGUUGCAUUUACGAGUGGAUGGAGAGAAGUGAAAACUGUCCAGUUUGUGGGAAGGUGAUGGUAUUCGAUGAAACAACUUAAUUUUGAACAUAAAAGAUUGUGAUGUGGAUGAAGCCUGUUACGGAGGAAAGUAGACAUUGUGAAUACUGCAGAGUGAUUGUCAUGUACAGUAUAAAGGGAACCGAAGCUUAACAACGGGAUGCAGAGAUCAAGGACUGCGUUUGGAGUUAAAUAGCAGAGCCAAUGUUGGUCAGUUUAUUAUUACUGUUUAGGAAUAAACGUAAGCAAGUGAGAUGAGAUAUAUAAAAGACGUCGCAUUAUUUCUUUUGACACAUGUUUA